This 448-nucleotide ribosomal RNA is filed under the name uncultured bacterium. RNAcentral's name for it is "bacterial SSU rRNA". It matches the Rfam family "Bacterial small subunit ribosomal RNA", at positions 354 to 796 of the family's 1533-position model. The record is from RNAcentral.
GUGGGGAAUCUUGCGCAAUGGACGAAAGUCUGACGCAGCGACGCCGCGUGAGUGAUGAAGGCCUUCGGGUUGUAAAGCUCUGUGGGGAGAGAAGAAUUAGUGGAGGCUAAUCACUCCAUGAUGACGGUAUCUCCUUAGCAAGCACCGGCUAACUCUGUGCCAGCAGCCGCGGUAAGACAGAGGGUGCAAACGUUGUUCGGAAUUACUGGGCGUAAAGCGUGUGUAGGUGGCUGCGAAAGUCGGAUGUGAAAGCCCUGGGCUCAACUCAGGAAGUGCACCCGAUACUGCGUAGCUAGAGUACCGGAGAGGUUGGUGGAAUUCUCGGUGUAGAGGUGAAAUUCGUAGAUAUCGAGAGGAACACCUGUGGCGAAGGCGGCCAACUGGACGGAUACUGACACUGAGACACGAAAGCGUGGGGAGCAAACAGGAUUAGAAACCCGAGUAGUCC